This 342-nucleotide ribosomal RNA is filed under the name Triticum aestivum (bread wheat). Its description in RNAcentral is "partial small subunit ribosomal RNA". The record is from RNAcentral. Lineage: Eukaryota; Viridiplantae; Streptophyta; Magnoliopsida; Poales; Poaceae.
AUGGUGGGUAAGCAGUACGGCUGCCUGCAAGAACUUGUGUUGUGGGAUUGGGGACAACUGGGGCCUGCUCCUCAGCUUGUUGAGUCUUUCCCACAUCUUCAUGUGCUAAAGCUUUGGAACUGCAGCUGGGACGCCUUACCAGGAAACAUGGAGCACCUCACAUCACUCAGGGAACUGGUGGUUAGUUCAUGCCCGAAUGUCCGGUCGCUUCCAACACUGCCCCAGUCUCUCGAGGGGCUUCGUCUAGCAUACUUGGAUGAUGAGUUCAUGGAGUCCUGCCAAACAGUCGGACAUCCAAACUGGCAAAAGAUUGAGCACGUUUGUAAAAAAAUAUUUACCUGA